UUGUACGCGCUAGUUGUCGGUGAAUCGCUCUAACAAAUCUUACACGUGGUCUACAUUUUCGAAUUUUCGCAAAAGAAACUUUGCUAUUUCCGAGUAUCUUUAUUCCACGAUUAUUGUAAACUCGUUAUUCCAUAUUAUUGUAAAUUCCGUUAUUCUAUAUUGCAGUAAAUUCUGUUUAUCUCCGCGCACGUGGUUUCGCGUAAUACAACCGAUUGUAAUUUCGGCUAUCUCCGACCAUAGUUUGUGCUCGUUUGACGUUGUCAUUUAUUACGACGACCGCAAGUUAUUAGUUCUACGAAUUUCUUAUUACGCCCAGUUAAUAUUAGUAUCUCGCUAGUCGAAAACGCGUGUAAGACGUAUAUUAUGUUACUUAGAUUUAGGAAUUAUUAUUGUUAUUGCGACGUGUAAAGUAUCGGGGAAUCGCCCCGGGUUUCUUAUAUAAAAUUCACAUAAGUGCCAGGAGCACAUAAUUAUUGUUAUUACGACUACUGUAAAGUAUCGGGGAAUCGCCCCAGGUUUCUUAUAUAAAAUUCACAUAAGUGCCAGGUGCACAUAAAUCUCGCCUAUUCUUUUCUCGUCACGUUCACCCGCUAUAAUAUUGGAUAGUAACGUCACAAUUCUGGGUACGACUGCUCUCCCAGUGUGUCAGCGAUGUGGUCCAAUGCUGAAAUCGCUCGAGCAACGUGAGUGAAUCUUCCGAACAAGAAGUUCAACCAACCAUUAACAAAGAAAUUGUGCACACAUGAUAGCGAUAAUGUUCAUUCGGAACGUGGAGUAAUACGCGUGGUGCGUAUACUGGGGAGGAGAUAUCCCCUGACGGAUACAUUCUACAAGUAUCUCGAUAUCGGGGUUCGAAUCGGUGGUUCCUGCGACGUAGAGCUGGCUAUAGGAGACUCGUGGAAACGAAAUUAAAUUUUCUAUGGAUACGUGGAAAGGUCUACUACGAAAGAGGUAUAACAUUCUGCAGAUUUUUAUUGAUACAUCGGGAACCUCGAGCGAGCCGAUAAGCAUUAAUGAUGUAACAGUUAAAUUCCGACAACUAAAUGACCAAAAACUCGCAAAACUCUCAAAUUCUACCGUCUCUAUGUUCAUGAGUGAAAAAACCGUACAAAAGUUGUUUGCUUUCGAGUAUUGUAUCGAUCACAUGUACAGUUGGCUGUCUGAAAACUUGUACCUGGUAGAAUCUAAGUACAACAAGUUUAUAGAAAUAAUACAAAAUGCUGAAAUUAAGGAUUAUGCAAAGGCAAUUGUUGAACAUGAAAAUUUUGAGCAUCAUUCAUUGAUUGACUCUAAAUUGUUAGCAUUAGGUUUAGAUAUAAUGGUGGAAUACAGUUAUCAAUAAAAAGAAU
Long non-coding RNA from Hylaeus volcanicus, 1349 nucleotides. RefSeq lists it as uncharacterized. The record is from RefSeq and is a predicted model, not a curated record. The transcript is spliced from 3 exons. NCBI's taxonomy places the organism in Eukaryota, Metazoa, Arthropoda, Insecta, Hymenoptera, Colletidae.